RNAcentral lists this ribosomal RNA (253 nucleotides) under uncultured bacterium. RNAcentral describes it as "partial 16S ribosomal RNA". It matches the Rfam family "Bacterial small subunit ribosomal RNA", at positions 524 to 776 of the family's 1533-position model. The record is from RNAcentral.
UACGUAGGGUGCGAGCGUUAAUCGGAAUUACUGGGCGUAAAGCGUGCGUAGACGGUUAUGUAAGUCAGGUGUGAAAGCCCCGGGCUCAACCUGGGAAUUGCAUUUGAGACUGCAUAGCUAGGGUGCGGAAGAGGGAAGCGGAAUUUCCGGUGUAGCGGUGAAAUGCGUAGAUAUCGGAAGGAACACCAGUGGCGAAAGCGGCUUCCUGGUCCAGCACCGACGUUCAGGCACGAAAGCGUGGGGAGCAAACAGG